Molecule: ribosomal RNA, 279 nt
Filed under: uncultured bacterium
Lineage: Bacteria
Description: partial 16S ribosomal RNA
Rfam family: Bacterial small subunit ribosomal RNA
Source: RNAcentral
UGCCAGCCGCCGCGGUAAUACAGAGGGUCCGAGCGUUAAUCGGAAUCACUGGGCUUAAAGAGUGCGUAGGCUGACGUGUAGGUACUUUGUGAAAUCCCUCGGCUCAACCGGGGAAUUGCUUGGUAAACCAUGCGUCUUGAGGCAGGUAGGGGUGGUCGGAACGCUAGGUGGAGCGGUGGAAUGCGUAGAUAUCUAGCGGAACGCCAACGGAGAAGUCAGGCCACUGGGCCUGUCCUGACGCUGAGGCACGAAAGCGUGGGUAGCAAACGGGAUUAGAUA